CACCGCGGUUAUACGAGAGACCCAAGUUGACAAAAACCGGCGUAAAGCGUGGUUAAUAAAACUUAAACUAAAGCCGAACAUCUUCAAAGCUGUUAUACGCACCCGAAGACAGGAAGACCCCCAACGAAAGUGGCUUUAACCACUAUGAGUCCACGAAAGCUAGGAAA
Molecule: ribosomal RNA, 167 nt
Filed under: Callogobius sp. KAUM:I:78182
Lineage: Eukaryota; Metazoa; Chordata; Actinopteri; Gobiiformes; Gobiidae
Description: partial 12S rRNA
Source: RNAcentral